Long non-coding RNA from Ctenopharyngodon idella (grass carp), 610 nucleotides. RefSeq lists it as uncharacterized. The record is from RefSeq and is a predicted model, not a curated record. Lineage: Eukaryota; Metazoa; Chordata; Actinopteri; Cypriniformes; Xenocyprididae. The transcript has 3 exons.
UCGUAAUAAACGCAGAUAUCACGUUCAUCCUGGUUUUGGUUUUUGUGUCUCAUACUAGUUUUAGAUCUACAAACAAAAUACAACAUAAAACAAAGGCAACCUCAGUAAACACAGAGUCCAGUUUUUAACUCCUAUCACCAGUGUGAAACACUAAUCACCCCCUUUAGCAGCAAUAACUGCAGCUGAACGCUUGUGAUAACCGGAGAUAAGUCAUUCACAGCGCUGUGGUGGAUUUUGACCCACUUAUCUGAACUGGCCAUUCAAGAUCAUUGGUUCAUUGAUUGAGUUCUUGAUGAUAAAUGGUGUGUUUGUUCUGCAGGAGUUUCCGGUCUCAAUGGAAAGAGUCCAGAGCUCACAGCCGGAUCCACAGAUGGCUUCUGGAGCUUUGAUUCAUGUGCCACGUUACUUGGGCAACCUGCCGUUCAGAGUCUGGAAGAAGAUGCAGGACAUCAUCCAAAACAGUGAGGAGCCUCCGCUGCAGCUCACCUGACACCUGAUCGAAGCUCCGCCCCUCCAGACUCAGACACACGUACUUACACGCAUCGUAGCGCCGCACCUCGUAACUCACACCAUCCUGAGUGACAGACGGACAGAUGGAGAGAGACAGACA